Molecule: transfer RNA, 89 nt
Filed under: Aspergillus steynii IBT 23096
Lineage: Eukaryota; Fungi; Ascomycota; Eurotiomycetes; Eurotiales; Aspergillaceae
Rfam family: tRNA
About the family: Transfer RNA (tRNA) molecules are approximately 80 nucleotides in length.
Source: Rfam by way of RNAcentral
UCCUCGAUGGUCUAACGGUCAUGAUUUCCGCUUGUCACUCUUAACGAGAACAAGCGCGGGAGACCUGGGUUCGACUCCCAGUCGGGGAG